GUAGGUGAACCUGCGGAAGGAUCAUUUUUGAUUUAAACUUAAACACUUUGUGAAUCACUGGCUUCGGCCACGGCUACGGCCUUAUUUGUCUUAAUGGUUAAACAGAAUUAUCAAAACUUUUAACAACGGAUCUCUUGGCUCUC
Molecule: unclassified non-coding RNA, 143 nt
Filed under: rhizosphere metagenome
Description: partial ribosomal RNA internal transcribed spacer region
Source: RNAcentral